Magallana angulata is the source of this 1573-nucleotide long non-coding RNA. RefSeq lists it as uncharacterized. The record is from RefSeq and is a predicted model, not a curated record. NCBI's taxonomy places the organism in Eukaryota, Metazoa, Mollusca, Bivalvia, Ostreida, Ostreidae. The transcript is spliced from 3 exons.
UGUAGAACGGUUGCCGUGGAGCCAUGCUGUGUCGUUUUUGUAUUAGCAUAAACAGGUCGGUCCGCGCUAUAGAAUUGUGUCAGAUGCUUACAAGCUUUGCAUUUCGAGGAUGUUAACAACGUAUUUGAUUACUGCAUGUAAAUCAUGGAUGAAGAGGAGAACAAUCAUAAGUCAAAGAAGACUCUUACAAAGCCUCCUCUGUUAUGUGCCGUGAUUUUCUCCAACACCACGUAAAAGGCUACACGCUCGGACUCGGAAGUUGCUGUGAUCAUAAUCCUACGUUUGAAUCAGAUGUCACAAUCUUAUUCAAGCGCCUGUUAAUGAAUCUACUGGCUGAAAGGAUCCAUUCAAAAGCAUUACCGGAGGGUGCAUAUUUUCUUAUGCACAUGAGGAUGUCAAUGCAUGAUUCAGCAACGAGGCUAAAAAACUGAGGAGUAAAUGAUGCCGAAACGUUCGAUGAUCCCAUUGAGCUACUUCUUAAUGUCAACAUGAUUAUUAAUUCAAUUAUGACAUUAACACCCUGAUGCAAAGAAGUAUGUGUGAAUUAAGAAAAUGUCCUCGUCCACUUCACUACAGGAUUACAAACAACGAUUAGAUAGUGAAUACGUUCUACAUAAGGAUGGAUGACUCUCCUACAUGUAACAAGAAACCCAAAGGAGGUAAACAAACAUGGUUUAAGUGCCGCAAAAUUCGUAGCAUAAGAGGAAUACCAAAAGUUUUCCGAAUUACCUUAAACGGCAUUUUUGAAGAAAGAAGUUUAAUCCACUUGACUGAUUGGAAAUGGUCGAUAAGUUGUCAUAUUGAUUACUACAAAUCAUCUGUGAACAAAAACUAAGCUAUAUAAGAACAGUAACAAACAAUGCUGUGAAUAGAUAGAGACAUUUUUUUGGCACAGGAAAUAUGUCAAAUGUUUUCUAAAUAGUCAACUCUUCAUGAAAAAUGAAAAAAAGAAAAUACGUGCAGACACAAUACAAAACGUGAUCAUGGAUGAUGAAAAAGUUACAAGUAGACCCUUUGUUUAAAGCAAGUAAAUAAAUGUUUCACUACUGUAAUUCAAAAAUACUUCAUGGUAUUUCAAUAUUCUUUGAAAUUUCUUUCUACACGUCUUUCUCUUUUUUUGAUGGCAAAAGGCAAUUAUGAGUUAUGAUGAUAUGUUGAUCUUUCUGGUGGAUUCACCAACUUUCUUAUCUUUUAUGUAAACUGAACAUAGCAUUCAUAUUGAUGGGCCCACCAAUUAUGUAUUCAAUAGCAGCAAUAAACUAAUUGUUACCGGCCGGGAGUUUCUUUGGUGAAUCCACCAACUUUGUAAUCUGUUUUUUUAAUUAUUCGUAUAACUUGAUAUCUGGUGGAUCCACCAAGUAGGGGUAUUUUGAAUUUUGUCAAUCUUUUUGGUGGCUUCACCAACUUUCUUGUUUUGCAUAUAAACUGACAUGUGUUGCGGUGUUUUUGUUUAUUUAGUGCCAUCGAUGAAUAUUUAGAAACUUUUGGUGAAUGCACCAAAUUUGUACUCUAUAUUUGUUUGUAUAAUUCAUUUUGGUGGAUCCACCAAAUAUUUGGAUAAUGAAAGUUUGUA